CUCUCUCACACAUCCUCGCUCUGUGCGUGCGCUCUCAUCACAGCACACAGGCGAUCCUUUGUCUCUCUCUCUCUCCUCGCCCUCGCAUGCGCUAAUAUUAUCUCAAAAUUACCACGAAGGGCGAGCUUUACCCGCCAAAAAGGUCCUCCGAAGUCGCCGACGCGGCGCAUGGGCUUCUCGCUCUGACGGAUGGAUUCGGCGAUCGCGCUCUCUCCCGAGGCUCCGGAGCCGCCUCGGGCGGACGGCCCGGCCGCGUCUCCCGCGGGGCAGAAGCGAGGGGCGCUGGAUGGAGGAAGCGGGGAAGCGGCGGUUCCGGCGGCGAAGAAGCCGAGGUUCGAGCGGGCGGAGUUCGGAAGGGUGGCGGAGAUCGUGCUGGUGCUGGCGGCGAUGGGGAGGAUGCGCGGAGGGAGGGAUCCGACGGAGGCGGAGCUGGGUUUGAUGGCGGAGGCGAGGGAGAAGCUGGCGUCCGCGUGUGCAACCCUAGCUCCGGAGGAUAUUGUGGCUGGCGAUGCUGUUGGGCGCGUGAUUGAGGAUUUGGGGCUCAAUGGAAAGCCUAAGGAUCAGAGGUUAGGUUAUACGGUUCCGAAAUCGUCGAUUGCCGAGAAGCUGACGUUUGCAAAGAGGAAGAUGGAAGAAUCGAAGAAGUUCCCUUCCCAUACAGCUUCUUAUUCACCCCACUUGUCACAAUCAAGUUUUGGUGCUACUGCCGAAAACCGUGGGAUGCCACCUGUUGUUCGGACGUUUCCGUCUGAUAAAGUUAAUCAGUCUCCCCUUUCUUCCGGAGUCAUCCCAGUUUCUUCAGCUACAGCUAAUGUUUCUUCCGGAAGCUCUGCGCCGUACCUGCUUCCACGAAGUGAAAUAAGGACAUCAACUGCUUCUAGUGGGAUAUCUAAUAGUCAUAUAGGAAGAGAUUCUUCUGCAAUGCUUUUGCCCAAGGUUGAUCAAGCAAUUAGUGUGAAUCAUGCAGGACCUCAUAUUUCAACUAAACCUUCACAAGCAACUUAUGCAAAUCAACCAUCUGUGAAUGCUCCUUCCUGGUCCUUACAAACCCAACAUGCCUCGUUAUCUAGACUAGGAACAGGAAGUAGUAUUCCUAGUAAUACAUUGGGCCAAGUUGAGCAAGCCUCUACCUCAGGGUCUGGAGCACCUCCUCUCGCAGCAAGAAACCCAACAAAUAGACCAUUCACUGUGCAAACUGCUGCUACACGUUUGCCCACCAUGCAUCAUCAACCUUUUCAGGGUGUCAACUUUGUUUCUCCACCUUCAAGUUAUGCUAGUCACUACGAAAUUGCCAAAAUUAUUCAGAAGCUCUUAACUCCAAAGCUUCCCGAGCAUCCUACAUGGACUCCUCCUUCAAGGGAGUAUAUGAAUAAGGCAUUGAUUUGCCAGCUUUGCCAAGCAACUGUCACUGAUGUGGAAAGUGUGUUACUCUGUGAUGCUUGCGAGAAAGGAUACCACUUGAAAUGCUUGCAGUCGCAGAAUCAGAAAGGGAUACCUAAAGCUGAAUGGCAUUGCCAGAAAUGCUUGGCAUUGAGCCAUGGGAAGGCCUUGCCCCCGAAAUAUGGUCGUGUGAUGAGAAACUUAGGUGGUACAAAAGUGGCCCCUAAUGCUACUGGUAGUCCUUCAUAUUCUGAGAAGAAGGUUAGAGCUGUGGAUUCAAAGUUUAAUCAGACAAAGAUAACUACGAAUGGUGUCUCCUUCUCACAAAAUACUGCUGUUGUCUUUACUGCUGGAAAAGAUCACGUUAAUACUGGCUCUGAUUUGGAAAUUCCAAAGGCCACAGAAAUGCGGGAGAAUGAUCUCUCUUCAUCUAAAAAAGAAGUGGAUCAGAAGCCUUUUUCUGAAUCUGGGAUGAAUAGCUCAGGGAAAUCCAUGGAUCCCACUUAUGUUUCUCCUCUUGGUUUGCUGAGCGAAAGAUCCAAGGAGAACAGCAAAAAAUCUGAGCCAUUUGUGCGUUUUGAUAAACAAGAAUGUGAAUCAAAGUCAGAGCUUCCUGCUAGCUUAUGUGAGUCAGCAAAUAUUGAAUCUAGUCCGCCUUCAUCUUCACACGGUGUGUCAGAUGUUAACAACUUAGAAAAGCAAAUUUGCAAUAAAGUGUCCUCUAAAAUGUUAGAUAAUAAUGAUUCCACCGUAAAAAAUGCAGAAAAGUCCAGUGCAGAAGACCAUCAAGAUUCUACUUCAACAUAUGAUGUAAAGCAAGCGGACCAAGAUGACAGACGGCCCAAUCGUGUUCAGAGUUCUGAAACUAGUACUGUAAAGAGAGAAUGUGUUGGCUUCUCUUCGGAUAUUUCCCAUAGUGUCGAGUGGAUUGGUGAUGCACUAGAAGUUGUCAAUGGCAAGAAAUUUUACUCUUCUUGCUGCGUUGGUGGAGUAACAUACAAAGUGAAGGAGCACGCGCUUUUUCGUUUGAGUAAUGACAAAUUGACACCAUUUAAACUUCAGGCAAUGUGGGAGGAUUGUGAAACUGGUUUGAAGUGGUUUGACAUUACCAGGUGUUAUUUUCCUGGCGACUUGCCAAAUAAUGUGGCUCAUCCAUUUGUCCCUGACAGCAACGAGGUUUUUGAAUCUAAUCGUGAUAGUAGUGUAAUGGCCUGCUCGAUUCAAGGCCCAUGUGAGGUUCUUCCGCCUGCCAAAUAUAAAGAAGAAACUGAAAGACGAAGUCAUAUAGGAAGCGAAGCGAAUGUUAAAUUGAGACCUCUCUUUCUGUGCAAUUGGUUUUAUGAUGAACUGAAAGGUCAUUUUCAAGCUGUUUCUAUUUAGUUCGGCAGACGCAUCCUUUAGGCAUGCAGACAGCUUGGCCAGUGGUGAGUGCAUGGUCCUCGUACAGUAAUGAAAUACGCUAUGGUAGGGGGAGGCCUCCAAGACCUUUUGUAAAAUAUGUAGAAGUGGUCUGUUAGUGUUUUUUAAGAAAUUAUCCGGUGAUUUUCCCAUCCCUAUUCUUUGUACGCGUUAGUUUUAUUAAUUUAAGCCCUUUUUGUUUUUGAAUUUUU
RNA transcript from Syzygium oleosum, 2990 nucleotides. RefSeq lists it as uncharacterized. The record is from RefSeq and is a predicted model, not a curated record. NCBI's taxonomy places the organism in Eukaryota, Viridiplantae, Streptophyta, Magnoliopsida, Myrtales, Myrtaceae. The transcript has 8 exons.